Gorilla gorilla gorilla (western lowland gorilla) is the source of this 539-nucleotide long non-coding RNA. RefSeq lists it as uncharacterized. The record is from RefSeq and is a predicted model, not a curated record. The transcript has 3 exons. NCBI's taxonomy places the organism in Eukaryota, Metazoa, Chordata, Mammalia, Primates, Hominidae.
UUCAGUGGCAACUGUGAACAUUUUGUUUAUUCGUACUGUUCCAACAUGGGCAGGUCUGGGCAAACCUACUCCCAAAGUCCAAGGAAGCUGAAAGACCAAAGAAAGAGGCUGACAAAUCCAGUCUCUCAGGAACAUUUAAUAGGGACUUACAAACAGAAACCAUGACUGUGUCUCAGGAAGCGGCAAGUUUCACUCCAUCAGUGUUUUGGACAUUGAAGUUAGCAAAUGGGAAAUUGAGACAGCAAAUUUAGGAAAGAAAAUGGCCAGCAAAUGAUAACCAGACACUUGAAAUGUCCUCUAAUCGACAGAGAGAAAACCAAACUAGUAUAAAUAAGGGACCCGGGUUAUGCAGAAAUGACUCCAGGAGCAAAGGAAAGAUCUACAUCUUUAUCUGGAUCUGUAUCAGUGUCUUUAGUAGAAUGAAAGGAGAUAUUUCACCUGCCUGGACCGCGAAUUGCAAAAGGAACAACAUUCCACACAAAAGAAUUGUCCAAGAACAAGGAAAGAACUUUUAGAAAUUAAAGUAUUUGAAGUCCUUG